Non-coding RNA from Schistosoma rodhaini, 46 nucleotides. The record is from Rfam. NCBI's taxonomy places the organism in Eukaryota, Metazoa, Platyhelminthes, Trematoda, Strigeidida, Schistosomatidae.
GCACUGCUGAGGAGUCCCACAAUAGGACGUAAUGUCCGUCCAGUGC